GGGGUUAAUUUAAUAAAAUUAAAAAUAAGAAAAAAAAUUUUAAUAUAAUAUAUUUAAUGGGGGUUAAAGUAUUUUUAUAGAAAAAAUUUUAAAAUUUAUAGUGGAAUAGUAUUGUAAAAGAAAAAUUUAAAAUGUUGAAAUAGAAAUUUAUUUAAAAGUAAAUUUAAUUUAUUGUAUCUUGUGUAUCAGAGUUUUUUAAAUAAAUAAAUUUGGGGGAAUUUAUUUCGAAAUUAAAAGAGUUAAUUAAUUAAGAAAGUUAAUAUUGCAUAAUUAUUUUUAAUAAUUAAUUGGAAAUGAAAAGUUAAUCGUUUUUAAUGAUAUCUAAUUUUUUUAGAAAAAAGUUUAAUUUUAAAUAAUUUUUUUUAAAAACUAAUUAAUUAGUUUUUAAAAAAUUUAAUUUUAUAUUUUAGGGGAUAAGCUUUAAAUUAAAAUUUUAUAAUAAAAAUAAUAAAAUUGAAAUUUUUAAAAUUUAUAUUUUUUAAAAAUUAUAGUUUAUUAUAAAUAAUUUCAUUUAAUUAAAAUUUUAUUUUAAUUUAAAUUUUUAUAAAAAAAUAUUUUUUAAUAAAAUAAAAAUAGGUAUAAUGAUAAAAUUAGUAUAUAAUUUAAUAAUUGAUAUAAAAAUUAUUUAAAUUAAUAAAAAGGAAUUCGGCAAAAAUUUAUAUUCACUUGUUUAUCAAAAACAUGUCUUUUUGAUAAUAAUUUAAAGUCUAAUCUGCCCACUGAAUUAUUUUAAAGGGCUGCAGUAUAUUGACUGUACAAAGGUAGCAUAAUCAUUAGUCUUUUAAUUGAAGACUUGUAUGAAUGAUUUGAUGAAAUAUAAACUGUCUCUUUAUUAAUAAUAGAAAUUAAUUUUUUAGUUAAAAAGCUAAAAUUUAUUUAAAAGACGAGAAGACCCUAUAGAGUUUUAUAUUUAAAUUUAUAUUAAUUCUUUAUAAAAUUUAUAUUUAAUAUUUUUUUAAUUAUUUUAUUGGGGUGAUAGAAAAAUUUAUUAAACUUUUUUUAAAAUUUUUACAUUAAUAUAUGAAAUUUUGAUCCAUAAUUUAUGAUUAAAAGAUUAAAUUACCUUAGGGAUAACAGCGUAAUUUUUUUUUUUAGUUCUUAUAAGAAAAAAAGUUUGCGACCUCGAUGUUGGAUUAAGAUAAAAUUUAAAUGCAAAAGUUUAAAAUUUUGAUCUGUUCGAUCAUUAAAAUCUUACAUGAUCUGAGUUCAAACCGGUGUGAGCCAGGUUGGUUUCUAUCUUUAUAUAAAUUUAAUGAUUUAGUACGAAAGGAUCAAUUAUUAGAAAUAAUUUUUUAAUAGGGAAUGUUAUUAAUUUGA
Molecule: ribosomal RNA, 1317 nt
Filed under: Pieris brassicae (large cabbage white)
Lineage: Eukaryota; Metazoa; Arthropoda; Insecta; Lepidoptera; Pieridae
Description: 16S ribosomal RNA
Source: RNAcentral